RNAcentral lists this long non-coding RNA (25349 nucleotides) under Olea europaea (common olive). RNAcentral describes it as "long non-coding RNA (OEUR_LNC002015)". Lineage: Eukaryota; Viridiplantae; Streptophyta; Magnoliopsida; Lamiales; Oleaceae. The record is from RNAcentral.
ACUGCAACUAACAUUGUGAAGGCUCGAUUGCGCAAUAAAAUUGGAGAUCAGUGGAUGAAUGACAACUUAGUUGUAUAUAUUGAAAACGAUGUAUUCCAAAAAAUAGACGAUGAUGUCAUUAUGCGUGGUUUCCGAAGUGUGAAAACCUGCUGGGAACAAUGGUAAAUUGUUGUGAUAUGUUUAAUAUUAUUUUGUUAUUGGCUUAUUUCCAAAAUUUAUAUGUUGUCAAGUCUUUAGCCCCCACUGAACCCCAUCUUAACUCCACCCCUGAUAAUGCCAAGGGAUUCACAUAAAUAGACACAAAUUCAGUAGACCAGUCAUGGAAAGUAAACAGUAGGGAACAUGAGUCAGCAAGAACACGUUGAAAACCUGUAAGAUUCUAUUGCUUUUAUUAUGUAUUCGAGAUCAGUUAGAUUGUUAUUUGAAGAAAGUUGUUAAAACAGUAAAGUAGAAAAACACUAGCAGCAGAGUUGCAUCGGUUGCUAUAGGAAAUGGUGUUUAAGGUUUUCCUGCUCUUGCAGAAAUCAAGAAAGAGAAGUGGCAAGGUUUUCACACAUCCAAAAUGGACAGAUAGGGGACUUUUUUGAGGUAAGACUUCCUAGAACUUAUACUGAGUUCUUCUACAUGUGGAAGUAAAAUAGGAGUGGGCGUUGUGAGUUCAAAACCUGCCAAUAUCGGGUUUGUGAAACGUCUGUAUCCUGAAAAUGUGAUUUGAACAUUGGCUUUAGGACCCUGAAAGGUUGCACCUGCUUCUUCUUUGAAUUGCCUAGCAGUUUGUUACUAUUAUUUUUUUAUUUUUAUUUAGGAAUAAACACAUAUCGUCCCUAUCUAGUAACUUAAAAUUUUGGAUGAUAAGGUGACCAUGGUAUUGGAGUUAGGUAAAGAACUUUGAUUCACCGAUCAUUUAUGCAAAUUGUGCACUUGACUUACCUUUGACGAAACAAUGUGCGACCUGCACGCUAAGGGCUGUUUGAAUAUAUAUUUUAGAUGAAUGUACGUGGCUCAUUCUAAAGGAACUCAAAGAAUUUCCAAGAACCAGAAGAUAAAUUAGGUUGAAUGAUCAAAAUGACAUAAGAAAUUGUUAUUACUGUUCAAUCUAAAUGUUUAGCAUGAUAUAUAUAGUGACAGUAACAACAAAUUUAGAUGUAAUGACUCAGAUUAGCAAAGCAUAAUUAAUAGCUUAAGAAACCGACCAAUGGAUAUAAACAAGUUUUGACAGAAGAAAAUCCAUUUAUUUAGAAGUUAGCAAUAUUUCUGUAAUAGUCGUGUCAUUCACAAGAAAGGAGAAGUCCAUAGUUGAUUUUAAAUUAGGCAACUUCUGCUUCCCAUUUCCAUUUCAUCGACACAUUGUUGCAACGUAAAUUUUGUUUGUAAGAACAUGUGUCGUGCCUAUUUAUUUAACUAUUACACUGUAUCGUGCCAAUUAGGAAUCGUUUGGUAUGAAAUUUAAAAAGUUAAAAAGCAGCUUUUAAUUUUAUGAGGCUAUUUUUAAACAUUUUUGGAUAAUUUUCUGAAAGUGCUUUGUUUGACUAGAAAUCUUUUAAAGGAAAUAGAUUUAAAGUAACUUAUUUAAGAAACUCUUUUAUUAGAAGCAGAAUUUAAAAAAUUAAAUAAAUAAAUACUGCCAAAAGGACCUUAAUAUUCAUAUGCUUCCUUUUUCUUUUUUCUUUUUUUCUUGACUACGUAGUACUUUCAUAUGUACCAAAUGCAUCUUUGUAUUGUCUUGAACCAUUAGAAAAUUAUUAGAGACAAGUUUCGAGUAAAUAAUUUUGUGAGACAAAUUAAUUAGCUGGCAAUUGACCUAAUAAAUGAGAACGAACGUGGAGAAAGUGAUACUAUUGAGUUUGACGUGCGAGGGCGAAUUCAGGAUUUCGACUCAGUUAGGACAGCCCUUGAUCGUUGGAUGUUGAUUGUCGAUAGUCAACAACUAUAUAGCGAUGUCGUUUAUUAAUAUUAAAUUAAAUAAUAUUAAAUUUUCUUAGAUCUAUAUAUAAAUACACUAAAACAUAAAAAUCGUAUAUUCUUAUUGUAUUAUAGUUCAAUGCAAUCCGAAAUAGUAUAAAUUACAUGUUACAUAAGACUUAUUUGUAUUAUUAAUGUUUAACAAAUCGUUUGCUUGACUAAAAGUAGUUGAGAGAUUAGAUACACCACUACAAGAACUAGAAUGGGAUUCAGUUGAAAAAAAAUCAUUCCAUAAUAUGUAUGAGAAUUGAAAGUUAAUCAAAAAUUAAACGUAAUUAAAAUUACUUUUAAAAUAUAAUGAAAGUUUCAAUUUCCAAUUCUCAACACCAAUUCAUCACAAAUUAUAAAUUCCCCAAUUUCUAAUUUUCAAUUUUUAUAAAUUACAUAUUCAUAUUUCACAAUACUCAAACUAAUUUUUAAUAUCAUAAUUUACAGUAAACAAAUUCUCAAAUAACAUAUAAAUUAAAACUCAAUACUAAUAAGUAAUAUCUUAUAAAUUAUUAAAGUAUAAAAUAUUUAAAACGACAAAAACCAACAAAAAAAAAAAAGUCAUUGACUCGCUUGGAGUCUUAACAUAUAUUAUUUUGUUAAUUUUAAUUCAAAACUCAACUAUUGUCAUAAUGGUUAAGCUUUCUAUUAUCCUAAGUAGAGGUCGCAGGUUUGAAUUCUUUCCUUAGGAAAUUAAUUUUGAUAAAUAUUGUAAAAAUAAAAAUUUUGCGCAAUGAAAUGGACAAGAAAGACUAGAACCAAAGACUCACAAUAUAUAAUUGCAAGCUCUAACCAACUAGGCAAAAGAAAGAUUUGAAAAUAAGAUGAACUACUAUUUAUAUAACUUAAAAUUUUUAUCUAUUAUCAAACAAAAAAAAAACAAAAAAUUCCCUGAUGAAUCCAGCUAGGACGGCUACCUAGCUGGCCACCACCUAAAUUCGCCCCUGCUAACGCGAUGGAUCCCAAAGAGUCAACAAUUGUUAUUAUUAUCAAGAAUUUAGGUUAAAUUAAUAUUUUGCUGUUCUGCUCUUAAUUUUUGACUGAUCUCUCUUAUUAGCCUCAAAUUAUUCUCCAUUCCCCUGCCCCCUCACCCAUUUUCUUCUCAUCUUUUAAUUAAAAUUAAGUAUAAAAAUGAUUUUACCUCAAAAAAUCUAGACAUUUGAAACUUAAAUACCAAUUUUAUAUAAAAUUGAAUAUAGGGAUGACAAUCUUCUACCACAUUGGUGAAUUGGAAGGGAAUAUGCUCACUAUCUCAUCUCUUAUUUAUUUUAUUUUAUGCAGUACUAAUAAAAAAAAAGUAAUGUUAGAAAAAUAAAUAAAUAAGUAAAUGGAGGAAACGUCGAAAAUGGGGAUAUAUUAGUUCAAACCUGAUUUUAUCUUUUUGCCACUCCUAAUUGAAUUGUUCGUUCGUGCAGAGAUUGAUUGUGUACUAAUUUAGAAGAUUGAGACUCAACUUGCUCUUAUUUAGUAGGUUGUGGACCAUUUUAAACUCUGGAAUAGCAUUGAUGACCAACUAUGCAAUUCUCCCAUUGUUUCAACUUUCAAUUACGCCCUUAUUAUCCAUCUAUGACUCCUCGACGGAUUUAGGCAACGAAAGUAAAAUAAUUCAGGAGCCAUUAAGGAAUCCUUAUUGAAGUAAGAUUACAAGAAAAUCUUAAUCACAUUCUAUUGUAGCAUUGUUCAAUUAGAACUCAACUUCAUAAAAUCCUAUAUAAGUUUGAAAAUGAUAUUCAUGAGCAAUUAAGGAAACCCUGUUGAAGUAAGAUUAUUAGAGAAUCUUCUCACAUUCCGAUUUAGCCUUAUUCAAUUAGAACUCGACUUCAUAAAUUCCUAUAUAUGUCUGAAUAUGGCAAAUUCCAAUUACAAAUUAUAUUUUCUGUUCAUGUCAUUGCUAUUCCUUUAUUGAGAAAUUAUGGCGUUUAAACCCAAUUUCGACAAUGCCCUGUCGUUCGUUGAUAUUGUGAAGCAACGGUUUCACGAUCAAGAAAGCAUUUAUCGAGAGUUUCGUUAUCUAUGUGAAAGGUUCAGAAGAGAAUUUACAGAGCCAGAAAGCGUAAUUUCACAGGUGAAGAACUUGUUCAGCGGUCAUCCGGAUUUGAUUUCACAAUUCCUCAAUUUUGUGCCAAAGAUUUUACGGAGUGACAAAGAUACCGCUGCUGCUUCUGCUUCCGCUUCUGCUUCUGCUUCAACAACGUCAAGAAAUUCAUCCGAUGAGGUUGGAAGGGAAAAAACAAAAUCCUGUAUUGAAUUUGUGAAUUGGGUUGCGGAAACAUUGCAGGAUGAUUACAAGUUCAAAUCGUUUCUUGAUGCUGUUAAUGGUUUUCGGAAAUACAAGGACAUUGAUCGGGUUCGUGAGAGAGUUUCUGUUAUAUUCAAGGAUCACCCGGAAUUAGAUAUUGAGUUUUCCAGGUUUUUACUGGAUGCUGUGCUGCAGCAGAUAACUGAAUGUGAAGAAGUCCUGUUCGAUUGUGAGGAAAAAAUGUAUGAAUUUGACAUGAAGUAUCAUUCUUUGAAAUCAAAUAUGGAGGCCGUGGAUCAAAUGGCAGAAGAACUGAAAAGAAAUCAGAACAAGUCGACCUCCAUUGAAGAUUACCUAGCCACCGUAAAGUCGCGCCUGAAUAAAAAGUACAUGAAGCUUAAUAAGGACCGCGAAAGGUCCAAGAUAAAGUGCGCAAGAAAUAUGAAAGAAACCCAUGAAAAGAUAAACAAUCAUAUGGUUUCUGUCAAGAAAGCAAGUGCAAGUGCAAAGAGAUCGAGCCCAGAAUCAACACUUAAGGUUGAAGACAACAAGGAGAAUACUUCCUCGGAGAACAAGGCGAAUCCAAGAUCUGAUCCCGAGCAAGUUCAUAGGGUUAAAAGAGUCAGAAUAAAAUAUUCUAUGGGAUGAUCGUAAGAAUUUAUCUGUCAAUGAACUAUGUGAGAUAUUCGAUCUGUUAUUGCACAUUGUUAAUGCAAUUGUAUACAACACAUUCUUGUGCAAAUUGUACUUUUGAUUUGUUCUAAGAUAGUAUUGUAUUAAUCCUUGGCUUUGUGUUAAUCCUUCUGACCAGACCAGAAGAUAGCGACCUGCUAUCCUCUUAAGGUUUAAUAUUUUUCUUGGCAUGUAAACCACAUAAUGAGCUGGAAAAGAAUCAUAGUAAUUUGCUUAAUUUUAGCUUUCCUGUCCAUGGAUUAAGUAUCUACCAAACUCCAUCUUCCCCAUAUAAAUAUCAACCAGACACCCUCAGCUCUGAUCUAGCAUAAAUUUGUUAACUGAAAUAACUUAUAUAAAUGAGAUAAAGUUUAGGGUAUAUUUGGAGGAAUUUUCUACGUUUUUCUCGUAUAAAUAAAUUGAUAAUUGUGAAGGAAUGUGUUGAAUUUCCAGUCUUGGAUCCAUUAAUAUUUAUUAGGAACCUUUAAAAGUGGCCUUGCCCAAAUCCACCUUUACCAAGAAAAAACUACUUGAUGAAAAAUAAUUUGUAAUUUCUUUUAGUUGUUCCAGAGUGAAAAUGUGAAGAUUUGAUCCCAUCACCAGUAGAAUCACUUAUAUCAGCAAUUGAUAUCCUUUUGACAGAAUCUUGUUUGAAAAUUUUAUGAUAACUCCGGCUCUUCACCUAAUACAAAGAUGUGGAUUUUGUUUCGUGGCCUAGAUUCACAAAAAGUUUUCCAUGGCAAAGAAAGCAAAUGAGUAAAAGAGACUUCAAUGCAAAAGAAUGCAAAAGGUAACUUGUAAAGGCCCCAUCCCUACUCAAAUCUCUCUUAGCCCAUGUUUGAUUUUGUUAAAACGUUGAAAUUUAAUUGUAAUUAUGCUAAAAAUCAAGAAUCACAAAGUAAUAAAUUGAUAAAUUGAAUUCAUACAUGUGGAAACCAUUGUUAAUAUGAAUAAUAGCAACUAGAUUUUCCCCUCCUCAUUUCUCAUAAAGUAAAACAAUAUAGAGAAAAGAAGGGACCUAACCUUUAUAUAAGAAAUUAUCAAACCAUCACAUUACAACUUAAACUUUAAUUAGGAUUUACAUAUAUUUUCGACCCACAUACUUAAAAUUACCAUAUCAUAUUAAAUACAAUUUGUAAGGUAUAAAAGGUUCAAUUGAUAACUUAAUAAAUUUGGCCAAAUCACAAAUAUCAUUAUGAUCUAUAAAUCUAACCCGUAGACUUUAUAAUUGAAUGUGAAGCCCAUAUUUGAAAUUAUUUUAACAUUCUCCCACUUGGACAAACAUUUAAUUGCUAUAACAAAAUUUUUAACACUGACUUAUACAACAUAGAUGGCCACAAAAGUAUAACUCCAAUGAUGACACAUUAUUCAACAUGCUCUAUUCUAACAAGAAUGUCAACACCGAAUAUGGAAGUUAUUUCACCAAUUGAGUGAUGUAAGAUUAUUCCACAGCUACAAAUGUCAACAUCUUUAUCGACAUGGAUCCCCAUCCUCCAACCAAUGAGGUAGUAUGUGGUAUAAACUUUGCACCAAAUGUGAUAAAAAAAAUUGUGCUAAUACAUAUCGAUUUUCAUAAUGCUUCAAAUUAAAAUGAAGCCACAUGUCUCGAAAAGAAACUCAUCUUAUGUCUUUAUCUGUCAUACCUCGAGUUUACAAUAAUAUCAUAAUAAAAUAUAUAAGUCAAAUGCAUUCUCAAAAUAAUUCAUUAAUAGGGAAAAAAUAUUUUAUUAUUAGAAGGGGUUGUACCCAAAAAACAUAUGAGUUGCCUACGUACCCCAUAAAGGGAUCAAGUUAAAAUGUAGUUUAUAUAUAUAUAUAUACACAACUCCCACUAACCAAAAAUAUCAAAUGUUUCCACAAUGCCCAUAUUAGUAACAUAUAUCUUAAAGACUUUUGGAGCGAGUCCCUUAGUCAAAGGAUUUGCAAUCAUUUCCUCUAUAUCGAUAUGCUCUAUUUUUGCCUGCCCUUCCUUGACUCUGUCCCUAACCACCAAAUAUUUGAUUUCAAUAUGUUUUGACCCACCAGAACUCUUGUUAUUCUUUGAAAAGUACACUACUGCAUUAUUAUCACAAUAGAUGGUGAUUGGUCUCGAGAUGGAAUCAAUAACUUUCAAACCAGAGAUAAAAUUUCUUAACCAAACGACUUGGACUGCAGUCUCAUAACAUUCCACAAAUUCAAUUUAAAUAGUAGAAGAUGCCGCUAGAAUCUGUUUAGCAUUUUUCCAAGAGAUAACACCAUUAGCUAACGUAAAAGUAUAAUCUAAAGUUGAUUUCAAAUCAUCUUAACAUCUAGUAAAAUCAAAAUUUGAGUAGCCUACCACCUCUAGAUGAUAUGAACGCUGGAAUGUAAGCAUAUGACCUUCAGUUUUCUUCAAGUAUCUCAUAACUUUCUUAACUGUUUUCCAAUACUCUUGUCCUGGAUUCGACUGAAACUAGUUAUGGCAACGGGGCGGGAGCGGGAUAGCCCGGGGACGGGGCAAAUUUUUGCCCCGUUUAAAUUUUUUUAUUUUUUAUUUUAAAUUUUUUUUAUAUUUUGAAAAUUUCGAAUUAUGUUAUUAUUAGAUAAUAAAAUACAAAUUCAAAAUGGGUUUUUAAGGGUGAAUUGUUUAGAAAUAAAAUUAAUUUUAAUUUUAAUUUUAAUUUUUUUACUUUUUUCUUCACAAGGUGGGUCCAACCCGUUCGGAGCGAGUUUUUUUACCCCAUUCAGGGCGGGGCUCCAUUAGGGCGGUGCAGGAUAAAUUGCCAUCCCUAACUAAAACCUGCUAAGGACAUUGACUGCAUAGGCUAUAUUCGGUCUAGUGCAAAUUUGAAUAUACAUCAAGCUCCUAUAGCACUAGCAUAUGGAAUCAUCUUCAUAGAUUCACUUUCGAACUCAUUCCUUGGACAUUGAGUUUUGUUAAACUUAUCUCCUUUUAUGAUGGGUGUAUCACCAGGUGCACAAUUCUGUAUAUUGAACCUUCCUAAAACAUAUCGUAUAUAAGCUUUUUGAGAAAGUCCCUGGAAAUCACGAUCUCUAUCAAGAUGUAUUUCAAUGCCAAGCACAUAAGAAGCUUUUCCAAGAUCUUUCAUCUCAAAAUUGGCAAACAACAUUUUCUUUGCCCAUUAAGCAACCCCAAAUUACCACUAGCAAGCAAAAUAUCAUCAAUAUAUAGCACAAGAACAAUGAAAUUUCUUCCACUAGUUUUGAGAUAAAUGCAUUGAUCAACUUUAUUUUCAACAAAAUCAAGAGAAGUCGCAACCUCGUCAAAUUUCAAACACCACUGUUGUGAUACUUACUUAAGGACAUAUAAUAAUUUGUUUAAUUUGCAUACCAAGUUUUCUCUUCCUUUUACAACAAAACCUUCAGGUUGUCUCAUGUAAACAUUUUCAAAAAGAUCUCCAUUCAAAAAUGAUGUCUUAACAUCUAUUUGAUGUAACUCCAAAUCAUAGUGUGCUACAAGUGUCAUAAUAAUUUGAAAAGAAUCUUUCGAUGAAAUAGGUGAGAAGGUUUCGACGAAAUCAAUGCCCUAUCGUUGAGCGAAACCUUUAGCAACCAAUCUUACUCUCUUUCGUUUAAUAUUUCAUUUCAAAUCCAAUUUACUUUAUAAAAUCCACUUGUUAUCUAUAGCUUUAGCAUCUAAAGGAAGUUCAACAAGUUCCCAAACUUUAUUUUGUUCCAUAGAAUUCAUUUCUUCUUACAUAGAAUUUAUCCAUUUAUUUGCCUCAAGACUCGUCAAUGCUUAAUUAUAAGUAGCGAGAUCAACAACAUGCCCAAUAUUAAAAUCACUCUCCAAUAGAUAGGUAAUAUAAUCUCUGGGUAAAGCAGAUCUCAUUUCCUUUUGCAAUCUCCUAACUCGUUGCUCAGAAGCUGAAUCAAUCGUUGUUGGGAAAAUUAGAAGUUCCUCUUGGUUCCUUAGUUCUUCAUUAACUACUUUAACUAAUUGGGAACCAACUCUUUCCUGUGUAAUCGGAACUGGAACAACAACUUGAUUUGGUUCAACAAAAAAUUCUGUCAAUGUGGAACUCCCAGUAUUACCAAAAUCAUUAUCCAGAAAUUUAGCAGCGAUGGACUCAACAAUUCUAGUACUAAGAUUUGGGCAAUAAAACUUAUAUCCUUGUGAUCUAUCCGGAUACCCAAUAAAGUAACUAGGAGUUGAUUUAGGUUCUAAUUUCUUUUCAAAUGAAUUAUAAAUCUUAACCUUAGUUGGAUAUUCCCAAACUUUGAAAUGAGCCAAACUUGACUUGCGUCCUGUUCAUAAUUCAAAUGGUGUCUUUGCAACGGCUUUACUUGGAACUCUGUUGAAAAUAUACAUAACAGUUUUCAAAGCUUCACCCCAUAAAUAUUCACACAAAUUUGUUUUACUCAUUAUGCUCCUGACCAUAUCUUUCAUAGUUCGAUUAUGAAAUUUAGACCAUUCUGCUUAGGUGUCCUUGGUAUGAUGUAUUGAGGCACUAUUCCACACUCUUGUAAAAAUUUUGUAAAAUCACCCAUAUUUUGAUCAGACUUAUCAUAUUUUCCAUCGUACUCACCACCACGGCUAGAUCUUACAACUUUGAUACUUUUUUCACAUUAUUCUCUACUUCCACUUUGAAAAUCUUGAAUUUCUCAAGUACAUGUAAUUUAUUAUUAAUCAAGUAAACAUAUCCAUAUCGUAAGAAAUCAUCAAUAAAUGUUAUGAAAUAUUUGUUCUCACAUAUAGUGGAAGGCAAAGAUCCACUAAUAUCAAUAUGUAUCAAGUCCAAAAUGCCAUCGCUCGGAUCAUUUUCUUGUAAGUUUAGUUAGCUUCCCUCUUAUACAAUUCACACAGGUAUUAAAAUCAGAGAAGUCUAGAGAUGGAAGAAUCUCAACUUUUAUCAAUCUUUCCAUUCUAUCCCUUGAAAUGUGACCUAAUCAUUUAUACCACACAACAUAGAUGACGAUUCACGGAUUAAAACCAUUUUCUUUGAUACAUUGGUAACAUAAGAGACUUCACCAAAAGGAACCGAAAAUAGUUUAUAUAAACCAUCAUAUAAAAGGCCAUUUCCAAUCAAACUAGAAUCAUAAAACAACUCAAUCAUUCUAUUGCCAAAAUUAUAAGAAAAACCACAAGCAUCUAGUUUCGAUAUAGAAAUUAAAUUUUGUCUCGUUUGCGGUAAAAACUUUAUUUUCCAAAACAAGAAAAAAAUCAGACUCUAAAGUUAACUUCACUACUCCUAUAAACUCAACCUUCACUUGAACUACAUUUUCAACACUCAAGCUCACUUCAUUCUCACUAGACCUCCGUUUACUUGCGAACCCCUGCAAAAAAUUCACAAUAUAAAUACUAAUUCUAGAGUCACAUCUACUAAAGAAGACUCACAACAAACCAAGGCCAAGAGAAUACCUGCAGAACUAUUCUUCUUUUCUAACAAGGUCUUAAAUUUAAAACAGUCUUUCUGCUAAUGACCCUUCUUUUUACAAAACUUGCAUUAAUAAUUUUUCUUCAUAAUUCCUUUUGGACCACUAAAAUUUUUAUUCUGCUAAUUUCGGUGUGAUUUAUUAUCCUUAUGGAACUUAGGCUUAUGGUUAUGAGAAGUCUCAUUGUUCUAUGAUGGCUGAAAAGCUAACUGCACAAUUUCAACAGUCUCAUGGCGCAUUCUAUACUCUUCUUGGGCACACACUGCUAUAAGGUCAUUCAAAUCUCAUUUAUCCCAUUGAGCAUUGUAAACAAUUUUAAGCUGAUUAAACUUGUUAGAAAGGCUAUUUAAAAUAUGACAGACCUCCACAAUAGGAAUGUUAAGAACCUUUAGCUUAGAUGAUAUAUUUAUCAUCUUCAUAACGUGCUCCCUAACACCACUUGUGCCAUCAUAUUUCAUAUUCAUCAAUUUAUCCAUUAGAUCCUCAGUUUCGACUUUAUCAGACUUAAUAAAUUUCUCUCCUAUGGCAUCUAUAAAACCUUUGGCAUUUUCAUUAUCUGGAAUAGUACCCAUAAUGGAAUAGGAUAUGAAUUGCUUAAUAAUUUUCAAACAGACUUGGUUGAGCUUUUCCGACUUUCAUAUUCAACUACAUAUUCAACAGUGCUCUUAUCUGUAAGUUUUUUUUCAUUGCAAAAUCCAAGCCCAAAAGACCAAGUGCUAUUUCUACAUCUAUUUUCUAUCUCACAUAAUUAUUUAAGUCAAGGUUUAAUAGCAAACAAUUGACUCGAAAGAUACGAGACAUUAUAAACUGUGGAAACAUAAAAUAUCAUACUCAAUAUCAUCCACACAUAAUCCAUGCAGUCAAAUGGAUGAUAAAAUAUUCAACUAAUUAACGGGGCUAUUAACUAGAUAAUCGUAAUUAAAUCAAAAGCAUAUGAAUCUUAUUAUGGUAAAAGCCUAGAUGCAUCAUCAUAAAGUCACAUUUAUGCUGAUAAUACAACAUGUUAUAAGGUACUCUUAAAACACAUCGUAUAGCUAGUUAACGAAAUUACAUUGGUUUUUGAAACACCAAAACCUUCGGGCAAAAGGAAAUUUCUAGAUCAAAGUAAGUUCGUUAACCAUCUUAUGCCAUUUUCCAAAAAUAUCAUAUAUAGUAAUACAUUUUGGCAAGAUAUUAUAUGCAAUAAAUCAAAAUUGUUGCGCAAAAUAGAUAUAAUUUUUGUUAUAGAGAAAAUCGAAUAAAUAACAAUGAGUGUGCCACUUUGACAAUUACCACCCAUUUUAUUUCAAAAUAUUUCUCUCAAUAGGAAAAUAAAGAUCGUCUCAUUACCCAUGAAAAAUUCAAUUAUACAACAAAUCAUAACUGUUAAUUGAUGAAAGACAAAAAUUCAUAUGAGAUUGAGAGACGAAAUUGGCAACGAAAUAUAUAUAUAUAUAUAUAUAUAUAUAUAUGAAAAAUGAAAUUUAAGUGUACAAAUAAUAGCGACAUUUAAAUACACAGCAUUUUAACGAGAAUAUAAAUUCGUUAAUUAUUAUUAUUAUUAUUAUUAUUAAUUAAUUUUAUACAAUUUUAAAUGUGUCAAUUUUAAAUAAAAUUUUAAUUAUGGUCAAAAUUGAAAUUUCAGGAUCAAAGACUUUAAAAUCCAAUUUAAACCCCUUUUUCAUAUUCAAAUCAAAAAACCCAUUUAAAAAUUUGUAACAUGACCCCCGGUUUAAAUUACAAGACUGGUCCUUUCCUUUUAAUUGCAUAUGGGGGCCCAAAGUAUCAUUAUUUACAACAUAGGCCCCUAAUCGAUUAUUGCAAACGGGGGCUUGAAACCUAGAUAUUUACAACUGGAGCCCCAUCUUCAUUAUUUAAGAACCCGACUAAUACUUGUAAAUUUAUUUAUUUAUUUUUAUUUCAAGGGGGUGUGAUUGGUGCCUCCCCCAAACAGCAACAUGCGAAAAAACAACAAAGUUGUUAGGCAAUUUUGUUGUCAAACGACCUCCCCGGGCGAUGAUGUAACCUCGGUUGUUUAUUAUCAAUCGGCCUCGGCCUAAUGAUUGAUUAGCACGUCGACACAAUUAACGAGACAACACAAUCCACUUUGUUAUGGACCGUUCGAAGUAACCUAUUUUAUAGUGUUGCUCAUGGUUCCCGCACCAUUCCUUGGAAGGCUAUGUUAUUAUUGUUGAGACCCAAUUAUUUGAGUCGAGGCUCGAUCCACCACUUAGCCCUAAUUGUAACUUACCUUGUUUGGACACUACCCUUGGCAUAUAUUCCUCACAUCUCUCGGCCUCCAUUUUAGAGUGAAAUCCCCUCUUUGUGAGUCUCUCCCUCUCGGCCGUUCCCUCCUCCCUCUCUGUGACCUUUGUGGUUGACAUAUUGUGGGUAUUUUCUUGGCCUUCUCCUUCCUAUAUCCAUAGCAACCGGACCUUGGUGGCACAAGGUGAUAUUGGAGUUGUCUCAAGAAUGGUGUCGGCGUUUUGAGUAAACUGAGCCCGGUUUUUUGGAUUGCUUGGCUGUGGAAUUCGGUCCUACAAAAGUUAAAGAUAAUUCUCAAUUUUUACGGCCAUAAGACAUACACAAACAUAUAACAGUGGCUGCCUUCUCUUUUCCUUCUAUACCAAGCAUAUUAUGCAACACACAAAACCCAGAUCUUGAAUUGUCUCAACCUAGAAGCCUCCUAAUUAAAAUCGGCCUCCUAUUGAAAUUGAAUUUUAGAUCUUUAAUUCAAGGUUUUAAAUCCAAUGCACAAAUAUCUCCAUCUUUGGUUAAGAGAAGAAGAAAAAACACGUAGGAGACCAAGUUUCAGAGUUUUGCAGAUUUGGUAGUGUUGGAUUUCUUUACAUGUUUACAUGAUGAAUAUAUUAUACAUAUAUGUACAAAGCCAAAUUAUAUGCACAGAGACGUGAAAACACUAAAAUAAUAAUUUAAAUUUUAUUUUUUUUAAUUUCAAAACUUUAAAAACUUAACAAUUCCAAAUACUUGAAUUGAUGGGUAGCGGAAACUUUAGAAUUAUUCAGUCAGAGGAAGAAUAUUAUUUUAAUGACAGAUUCUUAUCUUAACAUUUUGGCUCUAAUACCAAUUGUUGAAAUUUAAUUGUAAUCAUGCUAAAACUCAAAAAUUACAAAAUCAUAAAUUGAUAAAUCGAAUUUAUACAUGCGGAAGCCAUUGUUAAUAUAAAUAAUAGUAGCUAGAUUUUUCACUCAUUACUCUUCACAAAGUAUUAGUCGUCAAUGGGAUAAGCUAAUAAAUAACAAUAUGGAGAAGAGAUGGGACCUAACCUUUAUAUAAGAAAUUAUCAAGCCAUCCCAUUACGACUUAAAUUCUAAUUAGAAUUUACAUAUAUUUUCGGCUCACAUACUUAAAAUUACCACAUCAUAUUAAAAUACAAACAGUAAGGUGUAAAACAUUCAAUUGAUCACUUAAUAAAUUUGGCACAAUCACAAAUAUCAUUAUGAGCCAUACAUCUAACAUGUAAAAUUUACAAUCGAAUGUAAAUCCCAUAUUUGAAAUUAUUCCAACAUAAAAUUCAUAAAUUUUGAUGAAAUAUAUGGUUGAAAAAUUGAUAAAAGUUUUGGAUCCAAAGAAAUGUGUUAUUAAAAAUAAUUUUUGAUUUUGGCUUCGAUUUUUUUCAACUUUUUUAACUAAAUCAAACAUGUGCUUAUUAUUCAAAAUUGAGAGAAAGAGAGACGUGCGGGCGACAACUAUUGGUCGAUAUAUUUGGCUCUUGAACGCUUGAUUAGUUGAGAACUUCAGGUUUUGUAGUAAUGGAAACUUUUAGGAUUGUUGUACGUUUUAUGUUAAAAAAAUUUAGAUAUUUUUUAUUCGCUCAUACAGUAAAACUACAGUGACCUUAUCAAAAUGUCAUUUAUGCAAGUUGAAGAAGAAAAUUAUAUGAUCUAAAAGGAUUACAUACUUUCAUCAAUUUUGUCUAAUUUGACAAGCAUGUCCAAAUGACUUGAAAUUUAUGCAAAAAGGAGAGAGUGCCUAGAUGGACUCGACAUUCUCUUUAAAUUUUCCUAAUUUGGCACUUUUGAAUAGAAUAUAGUGACACAAAUACACAAAUUAAAAAGCAAAGACAGUUUUAAUUUUAAAAAAAUUGGAAAGAAGGCUAAAUCUUCUUCCUAAUGACAAUUUAGAUAAAAACUAUUCAACCCUCUUCACUUGUGAACCUUGAAGAUGGCGCUCUUAAGAUUUGAGAACGGGUGAGGUCUCAUUUAUACUUCUGGAAAAGGUCAGGGACCCUCUCCGCAAUUUUCCCAUUUCCAUUUGAUGUGGUAUUGAAGUUUUAACAUUUUUCCCAUCUCUACACCAACUUCACAAUUUAGUCACAAUAUUCAUCAACCAUUUGACUAUCAAUAUUUUUCACUCGACCUGGUCUCUCCAUGUUUUUCAGUUUUGGAAAAUUUUCCAAGAAUCUAGAGCUUGUAAAGCUGUAAUUACUAAUAGAUCGAGUAGAUUUUGAAGUUAAUGACAUAGUGACUAAUAUGGAACUAAAAUAUAAUUUUGACUUAAAAUUUCUCUGUGAUUUUAUUAGGUAAAAUGUGUUUUUUCCGUCUCUAUAUGACAUUACAAUUACGUCACUAUUCGAUCUUUAGAUUAAUUGAUAUAGAUGUAGACAAACAUGUUCCACAUCUACUACAUCUUAUUCAUCACCUUGUUAAGCAAGAUCACCUAACCAAUAGAAGUAGAUAAACAUAAUUUCAUGCAAGUUUUAUAGCGGUUGAGGAUCCAUUUGCGCUUUUUGAAAAUAUUAGGAACCCAACUGCAAUUUUCCUAUUUUAUUUUACUUUUCUUCUCUUUCAGUUUACUAAAGUUAAAUGGUAGAGUUGUCAUUUUUGUCAUUUUGUGCGACAUUAACAAAAAAAUGGAUGGAAAUCGUUAGGAGGUAACAUUUGUGCAGACGAAAAGGUUGAGAUGCAAAUGAAUAAAAAUUAAAUGGAAUGAACAUGUUGAAGAUGCACAAUGUUAUUUAUCUUAAAACUAGUUGCUGUCACGUGCGAUGCACGAGUUUUGUAUUUAUGAUAUUUUUAUUAGCGUAUGAAUGGUAGUUUUUUGGAAUGUUUUUGAAGAAAUCAAGGCUAUCAACAUUUAGGAACGUUGGUUAAAAUUUAUAUAAUCAAAUGAAAAGACUAGGUUGUAGAGAAGAAAAGAUGCUGAAAAUAUACAAAUGAUUGUAAAGAAAAGAUUAACACAUUUAUAUCAAUUUUCCCAUGAUGAAAGAAAAAUUUCGGUACAUGUUAACGGCUUUUACAAUCUCACAAGAGCAUUCUAUCCCAGCUAGAUUGACAAAAAAUAUACGUGAAUAAGAAAUGAAUGGGGUUACAUUAAUUGUUUUCCAGGUAUAGUUGACACAUUUGAUAUUUUUCAACGUUUAACACGAUCUAUAUGAUUGAGUUCAACUUGAAGAUUAUGUUUGAAAAAUAGAUGGAAGAUACUCCAACUUUAGCACAAGUCCAGAUAACCAAAAGGCUCUUCAAACUACAGUCCAACAAAGCACCAUCAUCUAUUCCUUACCCACAUAACACAUCGUCAAAUGCUUCCAUGUCUUGGUCUAUACCAAUAUAGAGAUAAAACAUGACGAAAUUGUGAAUAGAUUAGAGAAAAAGAAAGAGGAAGACAAGGAAUUAAUACAGCAGCAUAUAGUACUAUGAUAAAUGAGUAUUUUAGUUAACAAUUUGUGAAAUUUACGAAGGUCGAAUAAAUUUAUUUUGCAGAAAAGAGGAUUCUAGACAAAAAUAUAUUUCUAUUAGUUCAAUUAGAAUGGUAACAAGGUGGAAAUAAUUUAGCACAUGCGAUGAAAACUGAUACACAAGUAGCAUAAAUAGGAGGGAAAAAGCUAGACCAAUGCAUCUACAAAAAUGAAGAUCAUUCUAAUUAAAUUAGUCUCGCGUCUUUAGUACACUUUCUAAGUUCAAGGAACUGGCGUAAAAGAAAUUAUCAUUGGUAUGAACUGUAUAAUUCAUGAAGUAAUAUUAUUCACCUGCUCAAUCUCAAAAAUUUAAUUAAGUUGCCACCAUUGUUGUUAUAGGAAUUAUGUCGUCCUCAAAGAAAAAUAAAAUUUUACACACGAGUAUAGCAACAAUAUAACAAGUACUAUUGACCUCAAUUCGUCUUUUCUAUAGGGUGAGUCGCCAAAGGCUUCUUUGUUCAAAUUAUUGAACGUCAAAGCAGACAAAGAUGCAAAUAUACCUACACAAACAAUAUGUAAAUGUAGAAAGAAAAAAGUAAUGAUUGUCACUAAAUAAAGUCGGAUGUAUAUUUGAAAAAGCCAACUUUAUUAAGACUUAUAUAAAUCUAACAGAGGGACCCGCCCUUAAAACAACAUAUCCAAUCUUCGAAAAGUUAAAUGUUGCUUACCCAUAAUACCUUGCAUAUUGAAUCCUUUACUCUAGUCAGAAUGUUGUCUAACUUUUUUGUUCCAGACUUUCUCAAAAUCGACAACUUCAUCUAAAAAGAACAAAAUUACUUGAAUGUGAACUGAAAGUUACAAAAAUAAAAAAGUCAUGUAACAAUAAUACAUACAAUCUAGAUACAAUAUUUAUACUAAUUGACCUGAAUCACCUCAUUCAACCAAAUAGGCAUAUUUAAAUUAUAUAUCCUCUUCAUUCUUCGUCUUUCUACACAACAAUCUAGUUCCUAGCUCUGAAAUAAAGUCUCAUAAUAGUUCUAUUUAAAAACAUAAAUAUAUAUUUUAGUAUGGAACUUAAAAAUUUCGUUAGGUCCAUAAAGAUCCAAUCAUAAUUCAAAUUGUUAAAAUAAGUUCUUUAUCAUUCCCAUUAUGGGCACAUGUUCCAAAUUUCACUAUGAUCAACUAUUAAAUAAAGAUGUUAAGUUGCCCAAACGAACUCAUACCAAGCAAAGAUUUUAAAAAUCAUCAAAAAACUUUCUAACAAAAAUUAUCAUAAAUCACAAAAGAGAGAGAGAGAGAGAGAGAGAGAGAGAGAGAGAGAGAGAGAGAGAGAGAGAGCUACAAAAUCCAGUGAAGUAUAAACAUUCAAACAAUCACACCAACUGAUCAAUUGCAAACUCCAUCCGUUACCAAAAAUAAAUAAAUAAAUAAAUAAAAAUAAAAAUAAAGGAAACCCCUAAAUAUCUUAUGAUCAAACUCUAAAUAAAGAAAGAACAAAAAUUAUGAAGAAACGAAACUAAACCAUCAUUAAAGCUUAGUGCAUUAUGAUACAUGUCAAGUAAUAUAAAUCAUUACUAAAAAACAAAAUUACAAAAACUUCUCACAAAUUAAAUUAAAUGAAUCAGACAUCCACUAAACAUACACAACUUCCUUCUUGUAUUAUCACAAAGAAAUAAAGUAAUUAUAUCCAAAAAUAGUGAAGAAAAAGAAUAGUUACCUGCGAGACGACAAGAAUUGCUUAAAUAAUUUAGUGCACAUCUCCUUCAACAAUACAUGAACCCAUUGAAAAAACAAACAAUUAAAUCUAUUGUAAAUACCAGACAACAUUGAAAUCAAAGAGAAACAGUGAUCUCAUUAAAAUAAGAUUCCCCAACAUAAGUGACACGAUAAAAGAAUAAAAUAAAGUACCAAAGACGAAAAAUUAUACAUUUAAAUAUUAGAAAAUUAAGCAAAAGAAGAACACACAAUAUGGAAUGAGCCAAAACUACUUGUAGAAAUUGGGUGAGCCACAAAGAAUUCCAUCUUCAUAAUGCCUGCUAAAAAUGAAAGUGUGUGCAACAUUUCAUUUUCUGCAUUGAGACUAAAAUAUAGGAAAAAUUCUCCUGGCUUGUGCAAUCACAGAAGACAACGAAAAGUCAAGAUAGAGUUCUCGUCAAAAACACAAAAGUAAUUACCUUCCAAAACCAGGGCAAUGUCCCAAAGUAAAAAAAUUGUAGAGUCCAUAAGUAUAAUUACAAGCUCGUGAACAAAACGGAAAUGGCUGAAGUUCGAAAAUAAAAACCAAUAACUAUAGACACAAGAUUUUUCAAACUUCUAUUGGCUGAUUAAUCCCAUCAGAGGUUUUAGAAUUGUUGGUAACUUUAGAACACUAUGCUAAGGUAAGUCAAAAAAUUUACACAAAUAUCAUAAUUCUUGAAAUGGUUCGAAGCAAAAUAAAUGUAGGAACCAGAAGUCAAAACAAGAUAUAGAAUAGAAAAUCAAGAAUAUAAAUUAUAACAAUGUAUAUUCCCCAACCAAAGGAAAAAGCUAGAAAUAAGCAGCCACGCAGCAAGCAUAAAUAGAGGAACAAGCAUUUAAAUUAAGAGGCAACAAAAGAGAGGAAUUACAAAAGUAAACAAUGAAUCAAUAAAAAAAAAUUGAACUUCGAAUUGAUAAUCAAAGAAUUAUGUCGAAAUACCAUGAUGUUGAAAAUGUCCAAAAUUAAAUGCAAAAGAAGUGUUGAUCGUUACAAAAUGAACAUUGGCACUUUGAUUUACAUGGACUUUAUCUGAUCCUACCUCAUUAACUCGGAGAUAGGUACCAUUGAGUAGAAAUCUUCCUCAUAUAGUUGUUCAAUAAGUAUCUGACACGAUUGAUUAUACUGAUUAGAUUUAUUAAGACAGGAAUUCUUUUGUAAAAGUUCUUUUCCAAUGCAUACUUUUUUAUGGGUUUCAAUACAUUAAAUUUUUUACAUAUUUUCGUUACCAGAAGUGUGCCUAUAACAAUUUGGUAGUCAUCUUCACAUAUUAUGUUGCGUGAUAAACAUGUUUUAAGCGUUGAUACCCUAAACAAACAGAAAUCAACAGCCAACAACCUAUUACAAAUUUACUGACAACUCAUUAUAAACAAUCAACUGAAAAAAUCUAAAAAUUCAAAAGAAAUAAAUCUUCAACCCAAAAAAUGGAAACACUUAAGGCAAAAUAGAUCUUAACAACAAAAAGAAUAGUCAAUUAAAUGAUGAAGAAGGAAGAUUUCUAUCCAAAACCAUCAAGAAUCAACUAAGAAAAUGAAUUUAUUUCAAAAAUCUUACCUGGCGGAGUGGCACCACUACUAGCUUCAAUUCCAUCAACUUAAGAAUAGAAUGGAACCCUAUACGCUAAUAUAAAAAAAAAAAAAAAAAAAAAGGUUAGUUGAUACACAUACAAGAUUUUAACCUAAAAUCAUCAAGAAUAAAUAGAUAAAAUGAAAUGUUUACAAAAAGAAAAUAACCCUAAAUCUAAGAAAAUAUUAAAUCGACAUACUUCAUGUCGCCAAUCACUAAUUUCUGGGUAAAUUUUCCACUUUUUUGGGGAAGGUUUUAGAAAACUUGGAACGCAGACAAAGAGAAAAAUGUCGAACACAAGACCAAUAAGGCUAAAGGAAAUGGAAUAACCAUUUACAAAAAGAGAAAAAUGAAGGUUUGAGGAUUCUAAUUCUACAUGUAUAAAUCUCAAUAUUCCACAAUUUUUUUGGGUUCUUCUGAAGAAUUUCGAACAAAGGACGGAAAUUUUGGGAAAGAAAGAGUUGGAAAAGGCUAAAGAAAGAAGAGAAAUGUUGCUUGUGUCAGAUGAAAAUUUGAAAAAUGGAUAGCAAUAAGACCAAAGAAGAAGUUUGCGUGUCUGAGAAGAAAAAAGCAACAAUAGGAAAGCAAAUAAAAAAGGGCAUCAUUUUGGAAGGGAAUUAAAUCACUAUUGCAUGUACAGUAAACCUUGAUUGAAUUUUUUUUUAUAUAGUAGGGAAAAAAAUGGGAAGAAAGAAGAAGAUUUGCUUUGUUGAAGUGGACAACACGUUUUGACCAAGAUGACACCAUAUUUGUACAGUAAAAUGGGAUUUGGUUACUAUUGCAUCUACAAUGACCCUUCAUUGCCUUUUUUUAUUUAAGGUUAGAUUUAAUCAACUCUCUUGAGCAAAGAACAUUUUUAAGUUUUUUACGUUACAAAGAGUACUAGGUUAUCACUAUUUCAAUCAACUUAGUUGCAUUAUCUACAUAAUAUAAUUCUUUUGAACAUUAUUUUUACAAUUGCAUUCACCUUAAUUUGUUCUAGUUUCGUGUUAUCAUAUUUCCAGUUUAAUGUCUCCUGGUUUCAGAGCUCGCGAGUUGAAGGAGACUUAAUAAAUUUAAAUGUUUAUAAUUACUAUCCAAAGGAGAGUUCAUAAAUCUAGAAGUUCUAAAAGCCCAUAGUCUCGUCGUAAUCUUUACAAAUGAAUCCAAAUGUUGACUUAGAAAUGUGGUGCCUUCACUCAUAUUAUUUGCAAGACCAAUACUAGGAAUAAUUUUCUCCGACGAUAUCAUAGAAUCACCUACUAACUUUUCCAAUUAUCUUAAAAGUGUAUUUGAAAGUUGGAACAAAAACUCUUUAUUCUUAACCUGAUUUCCUCUAGCUUUGUGGACCAAGCUUACUCUAAUUUAUGUGUGAGGAUUGAUUUUUCCUAUUUAUGUGUGCAUGAAGCUUAAUUUUUCUACCUUUAGCGGGUAAGAACUUUUCACCGCUAAUAUAGCAAGAGAAUCUUAAUUAGAAUUGAUUUUCUAUUUUCAAUGAGAGAUAAAAACUUUCUACUGCUUUCCACUGAGGUAAGAGAUCAAUUAUAUGGGUAUAAUGGCCGUUUGGCCUUCUAUAUUCUUCAAUAACAUUUUUGUUAAAGUCCUGCAUGGCAUCCAGAAUUUGCAUUUAGCUUUAAUUUGUAGCUUUUAUAACAUGAUUCAGUAAUACUUGCUCCAAUUGAUCAUUAUCCCAAUUUACAAACGGUCCAAAUCUGUUAACGGAUAAUUCCAUACUUUAUAUAAAGGAAAAUAAUAUAAGUACAGGGAUCAUUUGGCCCUAUAGGCAUAUCACAAGGGUCAGCUGGCUUCCUAGCAUGUACAAGGUCCAUGUGGCAGCUAUACGUGGAGCUUGGUUCUUAUAUAAAUCAUGAUUGAUAUAAACCAAAGUGUAACUGAAUUUGACAAUUUGUCAUUCGAAAAAUAAAAAAAAAUAAAAAAAAGGUUUUCUCUCGAUAUUUUUUUAAACUAAGCAAGUUCCAACCUUAUUGCACACUUUGAAAUGUACAAAUUGCAUUUACCUUUGUAUAUCUCCUUUGUCCAGAAUCUAGAUUAUUCUAGGUUGAUUUGACCUCAUAAUCUCCCUCUUGGUCCCUCCUUUUUUUAUUAUGUGUGUCUGACCCAAAAGCUUUUAGGUGUUGCAAAUUAUUCCUUGAAAAGUAUUUAUUUUAAUCUAGGUCCCCAAGUUUUUGGAAUAUUCCAAAUGGUCCCUGAACUAUUAUAAGUUACAAACAGAACCCCAAACUUUUUGUUUGAUUCCAAUUGGUCACUGAAUUUUAAAUAUUACACAUUAUAGCCCCUAGAAUUUCAAUUUCUUUCAUAAAUCAGACCCUAUUCUCUCUGGUAGCAUCAAAUUGGUCCUUAUGUUUACUAUUUUAUGCAAGUUAAUCCUUGGCAUUUUCUACUUCUGAUAACUUAGUCCUUGAACCAUCUAGAACCAAAAAUACAUCCUACAAUGCUUCUUGUGGUGUACACUUAUUUUCCAUGUUAUUUUUGUAUCUUUUCCAUUUUCAUUACAACAAUUCAAAUUUAGCCCUUGUUUGAGCCUCCCUUUUUUUGGCCAAAAUGCAUUUUAGAAUAGUGUGUUUGUUGAAGAAUGUGUAGUUAAAAAUAAAGAAAAAAUUUUGGUUGCGUGUAAAAUUAUUUUAUAUAAGAAUGUGUAGUUGAAAAUGAGUUUUGAAAAAAUGAUUUUUUGAAAAAAUGGGGACCAAGCAUAGGCUUAAACUUGAUGUCCUACUCGCCAAAGCGAAAUUAGCCUCCUUUGAAUGAGGGAGUUUCCCGAUUUUGUUGUGAUAUUUUGACAUAUUAUUCAAUUCAAAAUCAGUUCAUUAGUCAGGUCAUAUAAUUGUUAAGCUUUACGACUUUAACCUAUGAGUUUUGUUUAGUGGUUUGUUUAUGUUCAAAAGUUGAUAUUAUUUAUCCAAGUUUGAAAUGGUUGAUUGGGUCAAAAUUUUCAAUGGAAUCAUAUACUUCUAUUCUUCUCAAGAUUUUUUUUUUUUAAUGACAGGAGAACCCGCAGCCACUACAUUUCGGGUGCGCACUGGAUAAACCCUCUAGUUGACACAAUAGCUCGCAAAUCAUGCUACCCAGGUAAAACGUAUUAGGCAAGCCUUGUGCGACAGGCUCGACUGAGAAUGUGUUGGUAAGGGGAAUUGAACUCGCGACCAAAGACCUUUGCGCUCAUCUAGUCCACAAACUCGCCCACCCCAUGCGGGACUAUUCUUCUCAAGAUUUUUUUUUUAUUGAAAGAACGGUACCACUUUAUCUAUGUUUAUUUGAAGUGAUUGGAGGAACUGUAAAGGCACUAAAAGUGAUAGUCCAAUGGACUAGCAAUGAGGUUGGGGAAUCCCUCUCUAUCGCCAUUCGACAAGAAAUUUUUAGCUGGGAUAGUAAUUAACGUAUUUUCAUUUGUCUUCCUUUUAGGUAUAUUUGUUUCUGAGUAUAAUUUUUAAAUUUUUAUUAUAAUUAAAUUAAAAAAUAAUAUAAAUAAUAAGUGUUGGGAGGGAAAUGCGGGAUAGGGAAACAUUUUUCCCUCUAAUUUUUACCUUGUCCUCCUUUAUUUUAAUUAAAAAUAAAGAUAAAAUGUCGGGGAAAAAAUGGAAAGAAAAAAUUGGGAAUGAACUGCAGCUAUGACAAUAAGUUGGGGUCCAAAGGCACAAAUAUCUUCACUAAAUUGAAACAAAAACCUCUUUCCCUCUGAGGUCUCGUUCUUCAUAGUUCAUUCUCUAUUCUUGCUAAAACCCUAUAUUGUACAGCUGAAAACAAAAUAGCAACUCGUCGGACGCUCCCAGCUCUUUCAUCGGUAAAUUCCCUUUUCUCCUUUAACAACAUCAAUCCACAAUUUUAUGAGUUAACCCUAAAUUAGAACACUGACUAAAUGCAUAAAAUGCACGUGUUGGUCCUUAGUCAAGAUUUCUAGCAAUCAGGGUCCUUUUGGGUAUCUUUUUUCUGUUGAUUCUCUUUUUUCUUUAACUGGUUUAUGGGAAUUAACAUUAUAGUUCAACUGUGUGAAUGUAUUUGGAAUUGCUCGUUUAGUGUUCUAGAAUUCAUUUUUACUGCUUGUGGAGUAACUAAGUGAAGGAAAUAGAAGUUAAUUUAGUGGCAUAUAUAAUGUGGGUUCUUUUGAACAGAGUUUAUUGGGCUUACUGUGUUUAUGUAUAAUUUGAUGUGAGCAUAUUUAAUUGAGCUGAUUAUUACUGGCAUGUUUAAUUCGAGUUCUGUUAAUCAUAUAAAUGGUUAAUUUUUGUUUAUUAUGGACAUUUUAGUUGAAGUGAGUUUGCUCUUUUUGACAUGUAGGAAGUUAUGGAGAGAUAUUUUAAACGAAAAUCUCCAUUCUCUACUGAAGAAAAUGAUGAUGUAGAGAAAUCAAGGAAAGAUAUAAUUAAAGGAGCACGCGUGCUAGCUGGUUCUCGGACGCUUUUGAGUGUAUCAAUUGAUUGUGUUCGGUUUCUCACACGACAAGGGCUUGUAUUCGAUGAUGAUGAAUUUGUAGCUUCAGAAGAUCAACGCGACUUUAUUCAACUUUUGCAGUGUCUGGCCGACCAAAAUGCUGAGAUUAAGGCUAUUAUGGAAAAUGCUCCUGAGAAUCUCGUUUUAAUAUCACGUGAUAUUCAAAAUGAUAUUGCAAGUGUUGCUGCUGUUGAAACGCUGAGUUUUAUUAUUGAAGUAUUGGUGAUGCCUUAUUCUCAAUUCUACUUGAUAAGUCUCCCGAUGUCUCACAAGAGGAGCAAAUGUCUAUUGUGUUGCGUGAACAACACUGGAUGUGUAGUUGAACGUUUUAUGGGUAUUGAACACGUUUCUAGUGCCACAUCUCUCUCACUUAAGGCUUCCAUAGAUAAAUUAUUCUCUAGAUACGGGUUGAGUAUUUCUCGAUUGAGAGGACAAGGUUAUGAUGUGACUAGUGAUAUUCAAGGUGAGUUUAAUGGUCUCAAAGAACUUAUUUUGAAAGAGAAUCCAUGUGCUUUUUACGUUCAUUGCUUUGCUUAUCAACUUGAACAAGCUCUUGUAGAUGUUGCAAAGAAUCAUAUGGAGACUGGAUCGCUAUUCAGUUUGGUUUCUAGGAUGGUGAAUAUUGUCGGAGUAUUGUCUAAUCGUUGUGAUCUUCUUAGAGAGAAACAAGCAGCCAUAAUUUCAAAUGCACUCCAGAACAGUGAGAUUUCAAGUUGACAAAGUCUCAAUCAGCAUAGUACCGUUAAUUCUCCUCAUGAUGCACAUUGGGGAUCACACUAUGGUACUUUGACCACUUUGAUUACCAUGUUCUCACCUAUACGUGAUGUCCUUGAAAUGAUUAUUGAUAUUGAAUCAUGUCGUGAUCAAAGAUUUUGGGCAAAAUAUUUAUCAGAUGGGAUGCCUUCAUUUGACUUUGCAUUUAGUCUACAUCUCAUGAGAACUAUUUUAGGAAUUUCCAAUGAGUUGUCGAAGGUAUUACAAAGGAAAGAUAAAGAUAUUGUCAAUGCCAUAAGUUUAGUGAAAGUAUGUAAACAACAACUCCAAGUGAUGAGGGAGAAUGGGUGGGAUUCUCUUUUGGAACAAGUAUGUUCUUUCUGUCAAAAGCACGAUAUUGAUGUUCUGAACAUGGAUGGGACGUUUAUACAUCAAGGUCGCUCAGGGCGGAAUACUAAAGAAAUGACAAAGUUGCAUUACUUCCGCGAGGGUUUAUUCUAUGAUGUCAUUGAUAUGCAACUUCAAGAGUUGAAUGAUCGAUUCACUGAGAUAAAUAAUGAGCUGCUACUUUGUGUAGCAUGCUUAUGCCCCAACGAUUCAUUCUCGGCUUUUGAUAAGGAAAAGUUACUUCGCCUUGCUCAGUAUUAUCCAAAAGAUUUUUCACCAACAGAGUGCAUGAAGCUUGAUGAUCAACUUGAAAGUUAUAUCAUUGUUAUGCGCUCUAGCAAAGAGUUCGAAGAAUUAUGGGGCCUAAGUAAUCUUUCAAAGAAGUUGACUGCAACUAAGAAAAAUGAAGCGUAUCCAUUAGUUUACAAGCUUGUGAAUUUGGCAUUAAUUCUUCCCAUUGCUACUCCUACAGUUGAAAGAGUCUUGACUGCAACUAACAUUGUGAAGGCUCGAUUGCGCAAUAAAAUUGGAGAUCGGUGGAUGAAUGACAACUUAGUUGUAUAUACUGAAAACGAUGUAUUCCAAAAAAUAGACGAUGAUGUCAUUAUGCGUGGUUUCCGAAGUGUGAAAACCUGUUGGGAACAAUGGUAAAUUGUUGUGACAUUUUUAAUAUUAUUUUGUUAUUGGCU